CAAGGCUCAUGCAGACAUGCA
RNAcentral lists this microRNA (21 nucleotides) under Solanum tuberosum (potato). Its description in RNAcentral is "stu-miR8049-5p". Lineage: Eukaryota; Viridiplantae; Streptophyta; Magnoliopsida; Solanales; Solanaceae. The record is from miRBase by way of RNAcentral.